CAUGCAGUCGAGCGGCAGCACAGAGGAACUUGUUCCUUGGGUGGCGAGCGGCGGACGGGUGAGUAAUGCCUAGGAAAUUGCCCUGAUGUGGGGGAUAACCAUUGGAAACGAUGGCUAAUACCGCAUGAUGCCUACGGGCCAAAGAGGGGGACCUUCGGGCCUCUCGCGUCAGGAUAUGCCUAGGUGGGAUUAGCUAGUUGGUGAGGUAAUGGCUCACCAAGGCGACGAUCCCUAGCUGGUCUGAGAGGAUGAUCAGCCACACUGGAACUGAGACACGGUCCAGACUCCUACGGGAGGCAGCAGUGGGGAAUAUUGCACAAUGGGCGCAAGCCUGAUGCAGCCAUGCCGCGUGUAUGAAGAAGGCCUUCGGGUUGUAAAGUACUUUCAGUCGUGAGGAAGGUGGUGUUGUUAAUAGCAGCAUCAUUUGACGUUAGCGACAGAAGAAGCACCGGCUAACUCCGUGCCAGCAGCCGCGGUA
This 478-nucleotide ribosomal RNA is filed under the name Vibrio anguillarum. Its description in RNAcentral is "bacterial SSU rRNA". It matches the Rfam family "Bacterial small subunit ribosomal RNA", at positions 54 to 522 of the family's 1533-position model. Lineage: Bacteria; Pseudomonadati; Pseudomonadota; Gammaproteobacteria; Vibrionales; Vibrionaceae. The record is from RNAcentral.